Molecule: long non-coding RNA, 1155 nt
Organism: Apis laboriosa (Himalayan honeybee)
Lineage: Eukaryota; Metazoa; Arthropoda; Insecta; Hymenoptera; Apidae
Exons: 4
Source: RefSeq, a predicted model, not a curated record
GAAAAAUGGAAUCCAGGAGAGAAAUCACGAGUCAAGAUUUUCGUGGCGGUAAUUGAUGUGGGCGGUUUAAGAUAUCGAGUAAUCUUCUUGAGAAUACAUGACAGGAAAUUUGUUUGAGCUUAAAAGUUCGACGAGAUAAUCUCAUGAUCUCUGCGCAUGCGCGGAAAAAUUCGUAAACUUGGAAGGCAAAGGACAGUUCAAGCUUGUAUGAAUUAUUCCAUGGACGUGGACGCCGUGCACGAUACGCAAUUAAGCCACUCCGAUGAAUUGCAAAUACAGUCGUUAGCCGACCAUUACAUUCGAAUGCUUUCAAGAGUGGCCAGCGGAUAGAUGAGGUAGGAGGCAGAAAGGCAAGAGUCGCGAGAAACCGUCCAAGCAGCGUCGCUGUAAUCCGAGCCAUGAGCGGAAUUUCAAUCUCCUGGCAAAUGGAACAUCGUGGUCCCAUGGCGUAAAGGUCGCCAACCGCGCGUGCACGCCAUCCAGGACGGACGGCCUGAUGAUGGUCCGGGUCGGUCGUUACCCAGGCUAAGUGGACCGCCGUUACGGUGAUCAGGACAAAACAGUCAUUAUCGAGGUGAAUAACGACCACUUUGUAAAACGAUGAACAAUGCUUUUGUACUGUGACACGUCUCGUAUUUACGUACUUACAAUACGUUAUUUCAUGAUUCCUCAAUGGUUUUUUUUACAAUUUCACGUGCUGUACAAUGAUGCAAGUAUAGAAAAAUACUAUACAAUAUAAAGAAGAUUUAUACGUACGUACACAAUAGUUUCUUUUUCUCAUAGACUCAUUCUUGACUCUUUCAGACAAAAACAAUAUGACUUAUUUCAAUUCUGUCUGUUGCAAACUAUAGUCAUUUGUUAAUGAUACUUAUUAAUUAGAUAUAUGUAUGUUUAUAUCUCAAUCAAUAUAUGGAAUAUGGAAUAUCAUUUAAAUAAUUUUCAAUUAUCUACAAUAAAAAUUGCUGUAAGAGAUUUAAAACGAAGUUAAAAAUCAAUCUUCAUGAAUGUUCCUCAUUGGAUCCAAACAUUUUUUUUUCCUCUUCCCAAGCAAUUUCCAUCUACCUGCCAAACAACUUAUCCAAUCAAUAACUUGAAACGAAAUAAAUCCAAAGAGACAAGCGCCGAUACAAAAUUGACACACAUUAGAUCGUAAAA